Molecule: non-coding RNA, 16438 nt
Organism: Rattus norvegicus (Norway rat)
Lineage: Eukaryota; Metazoa; Chordata; Mammalia; Rodentia; Muridae
Source: RefSeq, a predicted model, not a curated record
GACCCGUGUGGAUAAGGGUUUGUAUAUCACAUAAGUGCAAGUGUGCUCAAGAGGCAAGAAGAGGACAUCUGAUCUCCUGGAACUAAUGUUACAGGUGGUCUUGAGCUGCUUGGAACCCAAACCUAGGUCCUGUGCAAGAACAGAAUGCACCUGUCACUGCUCACACAUAUGUUUUAACCUCCAUCACACAUACAUACACACUCCUCCAGCCUCCAAGGAUGCCUGCUUAUACUUGGCAUAGAAUCAUAUACAUAAAAAGAAAGUAAAUCUUGCAGGGUACAGUGACACAAUCUAGCACUUGGGAGGUGGAGACAAGUGGAUCCCUGUAACAUCAACGUCAUCAAGACCUGUCUACAUAAUCAUUUCUAAGCUUGUUUUCCCUCUCCAUUGGCUUUUCACUCUGGGGUUUCACUCUUUAGCCCUGGUUAUCCUGGAACUCAGAUAUAUAUAUCCUACAUCUCAUCUCUGCCUCCCGAGUGCUGGGGUUAAAAGCUUGGAACACCACUGCCCAGCAUAUAAUAAAUCUCUAAAGAAGAGAAUUCCUGCCUAGUGGUAGUGGUGGCUCAUGCUUUUAAUACCAGCACUUGGAAGGCAGAUCACUGUGUGUUUGAAACCAGCCUGGUGUACCGAAUGUGUUCCAGGACAGCCAGGCUACAUAGAGAGAUCCUGUCUCAGAAAAACAAAACAGUGAUAUAAUAGAAGAAAACUUUGUGAGUGAUAUGCUGAUCUGCGGAUAUAGCAGUAUGUCGUUAGGAGUCAUUUUACGGCUCUGUUCAUCUAACAGAGUAAUAGUAGUAAGUAGGUUUUUCUUGGGACCUAUGACCUAUCGAGUCACAGGCUCUUGCUCACUUUAGUAGUCUGGAUGAUUAGGCCUUAAGUUCAAAACAUACGCGUGCGCGCGCGCGCGCGCACGCGCGCACACACACACACACACACACACACCAUAUGGUUGGUUACUCCCCUAAAUUCACGCCACCAUUGCGCCAGUGAGCAUCUCUUAGCAUAUCUCCUUUAAAGCAAAUAUAGUAUAGCUCACAGACUUGUAACCAGAUGAUACUAAUGAUUACUUUUCCCCACCAGGAGUAGCAUGUGUAGCACCUAGCACUAUGAACUCUAGCCAGUAGGGGCAAUGCUUCCAGUUGACUACCAACUUCGUUUCUCCGUGUUCUAUACUGUAAGUACAUGGCACCUUUAGCAAUAGGGCCUUACAAUCAACUUAGCAUUGACAAUAACGUAGUGUUUGAAGGGUCUGUGAGACCUCUUUGGCCAGUGACUUAUGAUGUAGCCCAUUCCUGGCCCUGGAGACUUUACUUGGUUGUAUAAGAUGUCUACUUGUGAUGUUACCUUCCCUAUUAUAUGGUGGUACAUUUAGAGUCCUUUCAUAAAUGUAUAUAUUUGGGGAAGCGUCUACAAUAGUAGGCUUUCAUGUAGCUUUUCAGAAGACCUUUAGUGUUAACUAUCCCUCCCCCUCUAUGCUCCUUCCUUUACCCUGUCCUCCUUACUUAAUCGUUCUAUUGUAGUUUCCAAUGUAUCCCUUUAUACAAUUAUACUCUAUAUCCCAUAUCCUUGGAAGAUUCCCCUCCUCCCAACUGGCCUGUUAUCAGCUACCUAACCUCUGUGGGUAUUCUAAGUGAAUAUAUAUAUAUACACAUAUAUGUAAAGCAUAAAUGCUAACGUCCACAUAGGGGACAACACACAGUGUUUGUCUUUCUGGGUCUGGGUGACUUCACUCAAGAAGCAAACGUGUAGUUCCACCCAUCCAGUCAUCAGAGAAGCUUCUUAAAGUAGAUAAUAAUGAAGACAGACCCACAACUGGAGAAUGUGCAGAGGGCAAGAGACUGGAGCCCCAAGCCUUAAUGGGAUGUCUUUAUCAAACUCCUACCAUCAAAGCUUGGAUCUAUGCAGAUGGAAAUGAAAUAUUGUUAAGUCAGAGGUAAGAGACAAUGUUAAGGAAACUGCAUUUUCCAGAAGGAACAGAAUAGUUCCACAGAGAAACUCACAUUGAGGCCGUGACAGCACGCACAAGACCUGGACAGCCUCAAGCUAGGCAAAACCCUGCCAUAGAGGAGAGGAAGUGGACAUAAAGUCCUGCCCACAAAUGAUAGUUGAUGGGAGAGGAAAAAUCAGUUUUCUUUAAUGGAAUGACACUAUGUAUAUUAACCACACUCAGAGCAGGCCUCAUCAGAUCUUGCUUCUGUCUCCCAAGUGAUGAAAUUAAAGGCUUGUGCCACCACACCUCCCUUGUUUGUUUGUUUGUUUGUUUGUUUGUUUGUUUUAAGAGAGAAAGAAUAUGAAGUUGGGCUGUGGGAGGGGGAGUUGGGGUCUGAGAAAGAAUAUUAAAAAUAUUUUGUAUGAAAUACUCAAAGAAUUCUUCCAGGUGUAGUGGUACAAGUUGUUAAUCCCAACAUUCAGGAGGCAAAGGUAGAAGGAUCUCAGUGAAUUUGAAGCCAGCCUGGUCUACAUAGCAAGUUCCAGAACAUCCAGGACUACAUAGAGACACUGUCUUAAAAAAAUUAUAGUGGCUGGUCUAUGUGGAGUGAACCUAUAAUUCUACCACUCCAGAAGCAUAGUAUUUUCUGGGACCAUGACAACUUUCAAGUUAGAUCCAAAUCAUUUGAGGCCUGUAUGGUGUCUUCAGCAAAAAGGACUUACCUUCAUUUGACUUCUGAGAGACAACCAGAAAAAGUCUAUAUUGUUUUGGGAGUCUUGGGCCACCCUGACCAACCAUAUGAAAGGUGGCUUCUCAUGCAUGCUUGGUACUGGGGGCUUUUAGUAAUCACAGAAACCACGGAAGUAUAGAGGGACAGAAGGUAGGGGCUUGAGUUGGGAAUAGCAGAAUAUGGGUGAUAAAAAGUGUAAAAUAGAAAAACGGGAAAGGACUAAAUACAAAAGGAGGAAGGACCAGAGACAAAGCUUGUUGGAAAAAAAACAUGAAACAAUCAUAUUGUUUUAUUUACCAAAAGCUAUAGGCGACACUUAUAAGCAUAUGCAUACACAUAUAUAUCUUAUGCCACUAUCAAGUAUGGUCUCCAGUAUAUAUGACAAUGCUCCCCACAAGACUCUAGUACAGUGUUAAUGCUGUGCAUGUAGAUGCGAUAGUGUAUUAUAUAAGGAAAAUGACAAUGGAGUAAGUGUCUGCCCAUGGUAAGUACAGACACACUUUUUUUUUUUUUGGUUCUUUUUUUCGGAGCUGGGGACCGAACCCAGGGCCUUGCGCUUCCUAGAUAAGCGCUCUACCACUGAGCUAAAUCCCCAGCCCAGACACACUUUUUAUUCUGAAUAUUUUAGUCUGAGAUUGUUUGACUUCGGAUGUGUGGAACCCAUUAGAAUACUGACAGCAUUUGGUAAAGCUGCCCUUUAAGGAGAUAGUUCAAUGAAGUCACAAAUAUAAGGUACUAAUCUAUUAGGACAGGUAUCCUUAUAAGAAAACACAGACCACGCCCUUUGUGUACACAGUAAAAGCCAAGUGAGAAUUGAGUAAGAAAAUGGCUAUAUACAACGUACAGGAAGAGACACCUUACCAGAAAGCAACCCCCUGCUAUUGUUCUCGUCUUGGACUUUAGCCUUCCAGAACUGUGAAGAAAGUAAACACAUACUGAGUCAGUGUUUUCUAUUGCUGUAAAGAGACAUCACGGCCAUGGCAAUCUUAAAGAAGAAAGUGAAAAUUGGGACUGGCUCACCAUUUCAGGGGUUUAGUCCAUUAUUAUCAUGGCGGGAAGCAUGGCAGGUGGAUUGUAGCACAGAGGCAGACAUGGUGCUGGAGAAAUAGCUGAGAAUUCUAUAUCUGGAUCCACAAGACAGCUGGAAGAGAGUGACAAUGGGCCUGGCUUAGGCUUUUGAAACUUCAAAGCCCGCCCGCAGUGACACACUUCCUCUAACAAGACCACACGUAUUCCAAUAAGGCCAUACCUCCUACACCCUCUCCAGUAAAGCCAGAAUCACUUGGCUGAAGCUGCUAAGGUCUGCCACUUGCUGGGGCUGGAACUUGGCUUCCCAUUCAAAUAUAUUUUCACCAGCUUCCCACUUCUGAUGCUUUCCUUCACUGUUUAAAAGAUUUUCUUUAAUUCCUUUCUACAAGUUGGAAGCUUAGGGCUAUAGAGGUGGCUCAGUGGUUAAGGGCACUGACCAUCCUUCCAGAGGUCCUGAGUUCAAAUGAAGACAGCUAUAGUGUACUCAUAUAUAAUAAAUAAAUAAAUGAAUAAAUAAAUAAAUAAAUAAUAAAUCUUUCUUUAAAAAUGUUGGUGGGGUUGGGGACUUAGCUCAGUGGUAGAGCGCUUGCCUAGCAAGUGCAAGGCCCUGGGUUUGGUUCCCAGCUCCGAAAAAAAGAAAAAGAAAAAAAAAUGUUGGAAGCUUAGCUGAAUAGGGUCUUGCCUUGAGGCUACCACUACCUUUACUCCAUUUAGGACCAGGCUCUUCUUAGUCCGAAACUCUUCAGUUUACCCUCAGGUACCUUCAGUUUACCCAAGAGUUUUUGGAUAAAAGCAGAAAGCAACCACAUUCUUCCCCAAAAUGUCACAAUAAUGGCCUCUAGGUCACUUACUAAUAUCUUCCUCUGAACCUUCUUGAGCCAGGACCUCACAGUUCAAAUCACAUCCUUCCUAGUCUUUCUCAAUAGUGCCGCUCCCUGGUGACUAAGCACUCAGAUAUAUGAGCCUACAGGGUCAUUCCUAUUCCAACCACCACGUGUAUUGAGCCAUGUAGCCUAUAGCGCUUUUUUAUAAUGGCUGGAACCACUAAUACAUUGCCUCCCACUUUCCAGGCUAAUUUUGGGAGACCUGUUUUUGACCGUGUGUGAGAGAAGAAGGCACUCACUUGAAGGAAGGGAAAUUUCACUUCUCCUUGGGGAGCUGGGGACCGAACCCAGGGCCGUGCAUUUGCUAGGCAAGCGCUCUACCACUGAGCUAAAUCCCCAACCCCGGAGUGGAACUAUUAAGAGGUAUGGCCUUGUUGGAGUAGAUGUGGCCUUGUUGGAGGAAGUGUGUCACUGUGGAGGCAGGCUUUGAGGUCUCCGAUGUUCAAGCUACACACAGUGUGGCACACGGUCUCCUGCUACCUGUGGGUCAAGCUGUAGACCUCUCAGCUCCUUCUCCAGCACCAUGUCUGCUUGCACACUGUCAUGCUUCCUACUAUGACAAUAGUGGAUUAAACCUCUGAAACGGUAAGCCAGCCUCAAUUAAAUGUUUUUCUUUAUAAAUGUUGCUGUGGUCAUGGUGUCUCCUCACAAAAACAAAAACCCUAACUAAGACAGCACUCAUGCCUCAGUUCAGAAAAGUAGGCAUACUGUCGUCUUCUUAGGUUUAGUGACUGCCCAAAGGAAGAAACAAGUGUCCAGGGAAGCUGAGCUAAAACAUGAGUCAUCGGCUGUGCCUCACCGAAAAAUCCUGCCAGCCGUAGAAACUGGGAGCUAUAACUAUCCAAGCAGGGUUGAUAGAGAGGAGCAUCCAAGGAUAACUGGGUGUUCAUACAUGCAUGAAGGUACAUGUACCCUCUAGAGUGUGUAAAGUUGUGCAUCCCACAGUAGCCCCCCACACAUGUGUGUACACAGUUAUAAUACCUUGGUGCCUAUAUAUAGGGGUAUGUAGUGUUCAUGCUUUGCUGUUUGGUAUUGAGAUGAUGUGGUUAUGCACACAUUUGUACUACAAGUGUACAUAUAUAUAUUUUCUGGACUACUAGUGUGCAGAUAUGCCCAGUGUGUGCGUGGAUACCUUAUAAAAACAAGUUGUUUGCAAAUACAUUUCCAUUUGCAAAUGCAUAGUAGCCAUGUGUGCUGCCUCGGUGUUCCUGUCUGCUUGUGUACAUGUGCCUAUCAAAGUGCUUAUACAUAUCUGUGUGUGUAUUCAGAGGAGCCCAGGACUGAGGAUGGUGCUUCUAGUAUGGGUGCCUGUGUGUGUGCAAUUGUGAGUGAAUAGGUUACAUGUAAGCUUGGACCUAAAUGUCUGUCUAUGUACAAUUCUGGGAACUUGCAUACAGGCAUGGGUGAGAGAGAAAGACAGAGGGACAGAGAAACACAGACAGACAGUCUGCACUGCAGGCAUCUCAAUUGUCCUAGGACUGAGUGCACGUGUACUCCAAGUGCCCAUAGAUAUUUAUACAUGUAUGCAUGCAUAAAUGAUUAUUUGUCCGUAGGCCUAUGGUUAGGUGUUUGUACGCAUAUACCUCAUGUGAAUGCAUACAUGUAUGGAAGUGAUCAAAUAUGCACAGGAACCCAGCCUUUAGUCUCUAGAUACCCAUACAUGUUACACGGGUAUGCCCACAGUCUAGGCCUAUGUAGAUCUACAUGUAUACUCCAGGGAGCCAUGUUUUUAUUUGUGUAUAUAUAAGGUGCAGGCCUUGGGCCUAGAUCUGGUCAUUAAGGUACAAAUACCCACUAAAAGCUCUGGAUGAAUGUGCUCAUGUAUCCAGCUGUACCUGUAGAACCUUGGGUCUUGGUGUCUAUGAAAAUGUAGCCCUGAAGACCAAGGCCACAUGGGAAGACAGUUGUGAGGUUUACACUUAGCUCAGGAUUGUCAAGGAAACCAAGGAAUGCACCUCCUCUAAGAAUCCAGGUUUUGGCAGAGCCACAGGAGUAAACUUUGACAGCAUUUGGCUUGUCUCAAACAUUAUCAUGUGGAACAAGGAUUGACCUUGGAAAAACUAUUGCUUUCUUCCUUCAGCCACUGCCCCCCCCAUACUGAACAAUUCUAAGAGGUCUGUGGUAACCCUAAAACAUAUGUAAGAAGGUGAGAUGGCUCGUAAGCCACUAAUGUAUGAGGGAGAGGUGCCAGGAAGCCAGCCUGUCAUAGCAUGGAGAAGAGACUUGUGUAUGAUGCUUGUGAGAAAAUUCUACCUGGUAGACUGAAAAGAUGUCCAAAAUGGCCUCCAGAGUUGGGGAGAAGCUUGCCAUACAAAUCGAGAGUCUGGGGACCAACACCAAGGUAGGGGGUAUUCAGACAGCUGAGACCUAGGAGUGGACAAACAGUUUGACCAGGCAUCUUUGCCUGGCUCACUAAGUCAUUGCAGGAAAACAAAUACCCAGGCCUAGAAGGGGCCCAGAGACAAGGAGGCUUUGAGAGGAUGGGUAGGGAGAAUCUAUCUGUUACUGAAGCAUACUCCUUUUCCUUAAAGAACUACCCAGGAUUCCACAAGCCCUGGUGCCUCCUGUAUGUUGUCCCAUCCAUUAUGGAAGAAGCCGAGCCUAGUGGGACUGAGCUAAGAGAGAAACAUCCCUUGCUAGUCCUUCACCACACUGACCCACUUGGCCACUGUAGGGGAAACCAAGACUUCCUCCUACCCCUGGCUGGGGAAGGAUGACUCCUGCCCCUAAAUUCCUAAUCUGCCUCAGAGAAAGGACUGAGGGAUCUCCCCUUCUAAUCUUCACAUUUCAUCCCUGCCCGUCCACCCACCCCCACUCGCACUUACCAAAAGCCCCCUGGUGCAGUAGUAAGACCUCCCCAUGCCUCUACCUCAACCCUAAAACAACAGCUUGCAUCUAGAGCCUUUGAGAGAUCCACAAUACUGACUACUGAAUGCCAGGCAGCAGUGGGCCGUUGUACAUAGCUGUGUGAGAUAUGCCCUAACCAAACACUCCUUGAAAGAAAACCAGGCAUACAAUAUAGCGGGAGCUCUUCUAGCAUUGGGGGUUGGGGGAAGUCCUAGCUUUGCUUUGUAUCCAUAAAAAGGGUAUUCUACUAAGUGUCCAAAGCAUUGCAUAAACCAGUCAGGUCCUUCAGCAUCCAGGCCUUUAAAAACGUGUUUUAGAUUAAUUUAUUUACCUGUCUAUCUAUUUGUGUCUUAUUCAGGGUUUCUACUCCUGCACAAAACAUCAUGACCAAGAAGCAAGUUGGGGAGGAAAGGGUUUAUUCAGCUUACACUUCCACAUUGCUGUUCCUCAACAAAGGAAGUCAGGACUGGAACUCAAGCAGGGCAGGAAACAGGAGCUGAUACAGAGGCCAUGGAGGGAUGUCGCCUACUGGCUUGCUCAGCUUGCUUUCUUAUAGAGGGCAGGACCACCAGCCCAGGGAUGGCAUCACCCACAAUGGGCUGGGUCCUCCCCCUUGAUCACUAAUUGAGAAAAUGCCUUACAGCUGGGUCUCAUGAAGGCAUUUCCUCAACCGAGGCUCCUUUCUCUGUGAUAACCCCAGCUCGUGUCAAGUUGACACACAAGAUCAGCCAGUACAAUUUGUUUAUCUAUUUAGAGAAGGGGCAUCUGAAGGUCAGAGGACAACUUCCAGAGUCAGUUUCCUCCGGCUACAGGCUACCGUGUAAGUCCCAGAAAUCAAACUCCAGUUACCGUGCUUAGAGCAGCAAGCACCUUUCUUUACCUGGUGAGUCAUCUAGCAAUCCAGCAUCCAGAUCUUUAAAGACAGAUGAAGUCCGGAGAUAAGGCAGAGGUGGACGUAGCCUGAGGGAUGGGCAGGCCUCAGCCUGCGGUAGCCGAUGUGGGUCUGCUUUUCUCUUGAAGUGUUAGAAUGCUGUCGAAACGCCUCUCUGUUAGGCAAAACACAGUCUCUCUGUCUCUCCGGGUGAGAAAUGGUGGGGACUGGCAUGGACGCUGCGGUUCUCUAGACACCACUGGGAACCUCAAACAGCUGAAAACAUUUGUUCUCAUCCUGUACACCCAGACACAACUGAGGAUCAAGAGGAGUUGAGAAUGGGGGCCCACGGGCCUGUGAUGAGCCCAUCUUAGCUCUGGGUGAGGGCCAGGAGUGUGCAGUGGUUCUUGACGAAGGACACACAGUCUUUACUUGUCCAAACUGCUUUAUUCAUGGUUGAUGUGGAUGCAUAAGACCUACUCAGGAUGAACCAGAGACUAAAUACCUUUUGCAGGAAGGGAUGGCCAGGAAGGGAAGUUCAUUGGCUAAACACUCGGGGCCUAUCCAGAUACCUCACUAGCAUGAAGAACUCUUAGGUUCUAUGCUACGUGACCUCUUGUCAUGGUCCUCUUUGUGGGGUGUUGUGGUCAUGUGCUCCAGGACCAGGAAUCUGGUCUGGAGCUAGUUUGAACUGCCAUUCUCAACUAUGAGUUUUAUUGGGGUUCUGAACUCUGCUACUACCUUAUCAGUUAUCGUCUGGUGACACAGUUCACUGUCCCACAAGCCACUGUCUUGUACAGUUUAGUAUAGUAGUUAAGAAAAAUUGUGAAAAGCUUUUCUUUUUAUUAUUUUUAAAGAUUUAUCCAUUUAAUGUAUGUACAUGAGUUCACUGUAUCUAUCUUCAGACACACCAGAAGAGAACAUCAGAUCCCAUUACAGAUGGUUGUGAGCCACCAUGUGGCUGCUGGGAUUUGAACUCAGGACCUCUGGAAGAGCAGUCAGUGCUCUUAACCUCUGAGCCAUCUCUCCAGCCAUGAAAAGCUUUUCAGUGGAUGAAGAUCUUUCCCAAGGUGCCUUUUAAAAAUAAUAUUUUAUUGAGAAUUUCCUACAAUGUAUUUUGAGCCUCUUCUCUUACCCAAUUCCUCCAGAUCCACCCCCACCUCCCUACCUACCCAACUUUGUGUCCCCUCUCUCUCUCUCUUUUGAACUUGUCAAGUCUAAUUCGCGUUGCUCAAGUACGCUUGUAUGUGUAGGUAGGUGCCUUUUGAAGGGAAUGUUUGUAGGGUCUACUAGACCCUUAAGGUUUAUCCAAUUCUUUUUAGGAUUUGUGUCGCUAUGUAGCCAGUCUGGCCUUAGCCUGCCCUAUCUUCCCAUGUGUGCAUGACCACUGUGGACUUAAAGCAAGUUCUUUUUUUUUUUUUGCCCCUCAAGACAAGCAAGUUGUACCACUGACCUAAAUUCCCAGCCAAGGUUUAUCUGAUUCUACAGACAGAUUAUGCCUUUAUCUUUGAAAGCAUGGGGCUAGAAGUUACCCUGCACUGCUAAUGAUAGCCACUUAUAAAAAUGCAAAUGCACAAAAGUGGAGGAACACAAGGAUAGGCACCUAUAGGAUACCCUGGGACAUCACCUCUAGGACCUUGGUUUCCACAUCUAUAUAGUAGGCUCUUUAGGACUGUGGGCUACUGAGGACCUUUGCAGCCAUCUUUUCGGGGGAGAACAGUUUGUCUCCAUGAUUUUAACAGCUAGAGACUGAGGAUACCUGAGCCCACCAGGCCCUGCUCUCCCAAAGACAAAGUCCACUAGGCAAGUGGGUAGGGCAUUCUGUAAAGCAUCCGAAGCAUAAAACGUGGCCCAGCAGACUGAGCAGCAGAAGCAUGGUUGGCCAAGUUUCUGAGCCAAUGAGCAGGAUGUUUGAAUCCAGGCUAUUCCUGAGUCCUGCCUGCUGAUCGUGUGAGAGACUAGGAAUGGAUUCCGGUAGCUUGACAGAGCUCUUAGUCACAACUCCUGUCUAUGACAUUAACAUGCCCUGACAUCAAACAACCAAUCGAAAUGGCACGGCAGCCUUACCUGACCUGACCAGGCAGGAAAGCAGAUGUACUCUUUGGUAAUAUGUGGGUGGAAAAUGGCAGAAAGCCAAGUAAAACCAGCUUAAGGGAGAAAGAAAUUACAAGAUGAUGGGAACAGCCUGAGCCAAGUUGAACACUCAGUCAGCAGCUUGCCCAAGGACUCUACCUGCAGCAGCAAAGGAGAUUUGUGUGGCCUAUGAGUCCUCAGCACUCCACAGGCUUUCCCUCAGGGGUAGCCUCACUAACUCACAAAGUGAGGCGCCUCAGACCAUCGGCAAGUUUGACUCCCUUUGUUCCAGUUUUAGGUCAUGUGGUCUGGCUUGGCUCACACACUUAUUCCCAAAUUUCAUCCUCCGCAGUAGUGUUUCCGGGGACAGGAAGAAAGGGGACUGUGCCGUUUACAUAGACAGAGUUGGUUUGGCCUAGGAGAAGCCCAAGAAUGUAUGUCUGCAACAAUCUGCUACCGAGGAGUCGUUCGGCAAACCCACAGGCAUUCGUGGUCCUACUCCACACCAUUCAGAAGUCCUCAGUUUCAUCCCACAAGUUGUCUCAUCUCUCUUUGGCCCCAGAAAUUCUGUGACCCAUGACAGAUGGCAUGAAUCUGUAUUAGAAUGGCAAGGAUUCUCAAAAGUGCUGAACCACAUUUGUGGCAGAGACUGUCUAUAAAAGGAAGGGAGUUUGUCUUCUGGCAGAAUUUAGGGCAGUGCAGAAAGGAAGCGGGGGUGGGGGGUGGAUCUCUUGGGAAACUUACUGCUCCGAAGACCUAGCUAGAGUCACAAAGGUGGCAGAAGAGGAAAAAAGCAGCCUGCUUCCUAGUUCAAUGUCCCCAUGUAGAGCAGAUGGUUCUCCCUUCCUCUGGGGAAUCCAUCUGUCCCUCUCUGGGCCUGGCAGGUUGAUUCCAUUCUUUUUUUUUUUUUUUGGUUCUUUUUUUUUUGGAGCUGGGGACCGAACCCAGGGCCUUGCGCUUCCUAGGCAAGCGCUCUACCACUGAGCUAAAUCCCCAACCCCGGUUGAUUCCAUUCUGAUGCUGUUGUGUUAUGUAGGUUUCUAUCGCUAUGAUAAACAUGAGGACCAAGAGCAACCCGGGGAGGAAAGAGUUUAUUUCUGCUUACACUGUACAACACUGAGAAGUCAGGGCAGAAAGUCAGGGCAGGAGCUGAAGCAGAGGCCAAGGAGGAACAUUUGUUUACUGGCUUGCUCGGCUUGCGUUUUUAUAAAACCCAGGACCACCUGCACAGGAAUACCACCACCCAUGGUGGGGUGUGCCCUCCUAUUUCAAUCAUCAUUCAAGAAAAUAUCCCAAAUAGCUGGGUGCAGUGGCACAGUCCUUUAGUCCCAGCCCUCAGGAGACAGAGGCAGGCCGAUCUCUGAGUUUGAGGCCAGCCUGGUGAUCUACAGAGCAGGUUCCAGGAGAGUCAAGGCUAUACAGAGAAACGACAUCUAUAAAAACAAAAAAAAAAGGAAAGAAGGGAGGGAAGGAGGGAGGGAGGGAGGGAGGAAGGGAGAGAGGGAGGGAGGGAGGGAAGGAAGGAGGGAAAACAGGAGCCAGUUGUGGUAGCACACACCUUUAAUCCUAACACUUGGGAGGCAGAGGCAGGAGGCCAGCCUGGUCUACAGGUUGAGUUCCAGGACAGCCAAGGAUCCAAGGACACACAAAGAAACCCUGUAUCAAGAAAGAAAGAAAGAAAGAAAGAAAGAAAGAAAGAAAGAAAGAAAGAAAGAAAGAAAGAAAGAAAGAAAGAAAGAAAGAAAGAAAGAGAGAAAGAGAGAGAGAAAGAGAGAAAGAGAGAGAUAAAGGAAGAAAGAAAGUCAGAAGGGAAGGAAGAGAGAGAGAGAGCAUGCCCACAGAUAGGAGGCAUUUUCUCAGCUUCAGUUCCUUUUCCUACAUAACUCUGUCUUGUGUCAGGUUGACAAAACACGAAUCAGCCUAGAGACAACACUUAGAUUCCUUCUUCCAGCCAGGGCCCUCAGAAUUGCCUUGAAUGCAGCUCAGUUUUAUAGGGUUGGGUAUGGUGGCACAGGCCUUUAAUCCUCACUGUCUGGAGGUUCAGGCAGGCAGAUCUCUGAGUUCAAGGCUUCAAGGCAAGCCGAAGUUACAUACUGAAGACUCCCAUCUUUAGUGGUAGUUGGGGUGGGGAGGGAACCGGACCAGAGAAAUGGCUGAGUGGUUAAGAGUUCAAGCUUCUCUUGCCAAGGACCCAAGUUUACUUCCCAGUACCCAAGUCAUGCAUCUCUCAAUCACCUGUAACUCUGACUUCAAUAGACUCUGACACCUCUGACCUCUGUGGGCACCAACACUCAAUGUGUGCAUACCCACCCAUACCUAUGCACAUAAACUUUUUAAAAAAUUAAAUCAACAACAACAAAACCAUCCUAGGACCAGCAAGAAGGCUGUAAAGACACUUGCCACUAAGUCCAACAACCCGGGUUUGAUCUCCAGAAUCCACAUGGUAAGAGAAAACUGACUCCUGCAAGUUGUCCUCUGACCUCCGUGUGUGUGUGUGUGUGUGUGUGUGUGUGUGUGUGUGUGUGAGAGAGAGAGAGAGAGAGACAGAGACAGAGACAGAGACAGAGACAGAGACAGAGACAGAGAGGAGAGAGACAGAGACAGAGAGAGACAGAGACAGAGAGAGACAGAGAGACAGAGUCAGAGGGACACAUAAACAGAGACAGAGAGAGACUGAAAUGCAUAAGAAUGAGAAGUGAGAAGCUGGGGCCAGAGAAGUUUCCGGAACUGGAGAGGAGGAGUGUGAGAAGAGCUAGGUGCUUGCGCUACUGAGGGAGCCUGGAGGCCAGCAUGCACUUUAGUGUCUCAUAGGCACCACAGAGAGCAUUUGUUCCUUGUUCCAGCAAUAAGGAAAUGGCUCUUUAGGUAGGGAAGAAUGGGAGCUGGAAUUUGGAGGAGUGAAGUUUCCAUUGGCCCUGACAGUUGGAAACAGAGAAGCAGAAAGAGCAGCAGUUUACGGUCAUCAUCUGCUACACAGCAUGUUUUGUUUUUUUUUUCCAGAGCUGGGGACCAAACCCAGGGCCUUGCGCUUCCUAGGCAAGCGCUCUACCACUGAGCUAAAUCCCCAACCCUACACAGCAUGUUUAAGGCCAACCUAGAUUCUGUGAAACUUGGCUUCCAAGGAGAACAAAAAUUACCAUCUUAAACCUGUGUCAGGGACUCUGGGCUGGAAGUUGUCUCAAUGUCUUCUAGAAAUUACACCCUGACAGGAGCCAGGCUCAUUACAGAGGUCCCACUGGCACUGGAAUGGGGUAACAAUGUGCAGGUGUGGUGAAACAGAAAGCCAUGGGCAAAAACAGGCCUUGGUGCUAUCCCAGCCCCACAGAGUCCUUCUGCAGUUUAUCCCCACAAAUACUCACCAAGCAGAAAGAGGCCAACAGGAGCUUUACUGUUGGUCGAUGGAGUCCAGUAGUCUACAGUAGCUUGGGGAAAAAAUGCACAGUGUGGGCACUGGAACAGAGAUGGGUACUUGGGGAGAUGGUCAGGUCAAAGGAGAUCUGUCCAUGGUGAGGGAGUCCUGAAUGUGGGACAGGAAAUGGGAAAGCCUUCUCUACCUCAGAGAUAGCAUUACCUCAAAGGUAACACAGAACUGAGUCUUGACAGAAAAGGUAUGGGCUCCAGAUGAGAAGGGAAGAGAUGGCCUUCCAGUUGGAAGGUACUGCACAGGCAAAGGCAGGGAGGCAUCAGAAGGAAGUCAAGGCAAAGGAAUGAGGUGGGCUCUGCUCCGGGUAACAGGCUCUGGGAAAGUCACUAGAUGACAGAACAGAUAGGACAGAAGAAAAGGAUCUUUGGAUCCCAGACAUCAACAUCUGAGUGUCCUUGAGGGUACCCUGUUUCCUUCCCCUUCACCUCCACUCUGAGGUCUCACUAUCACAUUGGACAGAGAAAUUGGUGUGGCUGGGAUGAAAUUAGGGAAAGUCUGGGACCCAUUCUUGACCAGGAUAGGCUUGGUGACUGGACCUAUGUCUUUUGGACAUAUCCUCCCCUCUGUGGCAAUUAUCCAUAGUCUCUACUCUCCACACAGCUCCUACUGCACUGCGGGACUUGAAUAAGUCAUUAAGGAGCUGGGUCUGGUGAUGCACAUCUGUAAAUGGACCACUCCAGAGACUUAGCCAUGUGGGUUCAAGCCCAACCUGGGAUAGAAAGUAAGCUAUCUAGACCUAGGAAUUCUUUUUUUUUCUUUUCUUUAUUUCGGAGCUGGGGACCGAACCCAGGCCUUGCGCUUGCUACGCAAGCGCUCUACCACUGAGCUAAAUCCCCAACCCCAGAAUUCUUUUUUUAACACUUUAAUUACAUUAUUUAUUCCCCCCUCGUGUGUGUGUUUGUGUGUGUGUGUAUGUGUGUUUUGCUGGGAUUAGAAUCCAGGGCCUAACACAUACCAAUUGAAAGCUCUCUCAGGGGCUUGUUUGUUUCCUUGCUUUGAUUAGUUGUACACUGGUAUAUUGUUUUCUUUUUAAAAAGAUUUUUAUUUAUUUAUUAUAUAUCGGUACACUGUAGCUGUCUUCAGACACACCAGAAGAGGGCAUCAGAUCCCAUUACAGAUGGUUGUGAGCCACCAUGUGGUUGCUGGGAUUUGAACUCAGGACCGUUGGAAGAGCAGUCAGUACUCUUAACCGCUGAGUCAUCUCUCCAGCCCUUGGUAUACUUGUUUCUUAAGUGCUGGGAUUACAGACAUUUGCCAACCACACAUGGCUAAUUCUUGAGAUAAGACCUUCUUCCUGUGUUUCCCAGGCUGGUUCUUGAAUAUCUGAGCUCAAGAGAUCCCUCUUACCUGGGCAUGGCCCUUGACACAUGUUCCUGUCAUCUCAGCACUUAGAGGCUGAAGCAGUUUGAUCGCCCGCCCGCCCUUGAGCUUGAGGCCAUGGCUGUAUAAUAAACAGGGGGGUGGGAGGGAGCAGGGGAGCGGGGGCAGCAGGGAGAGCAGGGAGUGCGGGGACAGCGGAGCUUCCUGAAUACCUAGCACCACAACCAGUCCAGGUAAGGAUGUUUAAAGAAUCACUCUGAAUAGGAUGUAAUGGUAAGCUAUGGUCGUAUGCCUCGCUAAGUCAUGACCAGGAGAGAGUAGAGUACACUGGACAGUAAAGCUGUAAUUGGUAGUAAGAAUGCCUAUUAGCCAGGGUCGGGGGGACUGGGCACAUAGCAUAGCUUAACAGUACAGCUCUUGCCAAGAACCCACAAGGCUCUGGGCUCCACAUCCCCAGCACUGCAGGAAAAAAAAUGAAACAAACCAUACCAGCAGGAUUAGGAGAUAUUUGUUCAUUUGUUCUAUUGGUACAAUGUUCAUUUCUCUGUUCUCAGACAAGAUUACAGACAGAUCAUGUUUUUGUCACAAUUUGUCAUAGUGGAAGGGAAGCCUUAGGAAAUCUGGGACCCUGCAGAGAAACAAAUGCUUAAUCUUUAAAGCCGGCUAUAGUUGGGAGGCUUUAAUUAGAACCCAAGGCUUUCUAUGUACCAGACAAGCUACCUAGCUAGGUACUCAGCCCCUGAACCGGCUUCCAGUCAUAUAUGUCUAUCCACAGAUGGCCACUUGGGUUGCUUACCACAUCAGAAUUUAAGGUGCUGCCUCCGUGGGUGGCUUCUAUGGCAGCAUGAGGUCCUGUGUGGGAGGGUGUAGUCACCAGCCAAGUCUUCAACAAUGUGCAAAAACAAGUCUUUGUGAAAUUAAAUCUUAACCAACACGGCCUAUUAGAUGGCAGCAAGAAAGACUGGUUUUGAGCUGCUGAGAUGGUUCAGUGGGUAAAAAGCACUUUCUAUUCAAGGCCUGGCAACCUGAGUUCUGAUCCCUGAAACCCACAUACAGAGAGGAGAGAACUGACUUCAUGUGCCAUGGCGUACGUGCCUGCUCAUCAUACAUACACACAAUGAAUUUAAAAGUGAGUUUUAAAAUAUUUUUCUAUUGGGCAUAGUCACAAACACCUACACUGCCAAAUCAGAAGCAGGAGGAGCUCAACCUCAAUACCAGCCUAGACUGCAUAGAAGGACAUGGUGUCAAGAAACCAGGAUUAGCCUAGCAAGCGCAAGGCCCUGGGUUCGGUCCCCAGCUCCGAAAAAAAGAAAAAAAAAAAAAAAAGAAA